This 254-nucleotide ribosomal RNA is filed under the name uncultured bacterium. Its description in RNAcentral is "partial 16S ribosomal RNA". It matches the Rfam family "Bacterial small subunit ribosomal RNA", at positions 524 to 776 of the family's 1533-position model. The record is from RNAcentral.
UACGUAGGGGGCAAGCGUUGUCCGGAUUCAUUGGGCGUAAAGCGCUCGUAGGCGGCUUGGCAAGUCGGGUGUGAAAACUCCAGGCUCAACCUGGAGACGCCACCCGAUACUGCCAUGGCUAGAGUCCGGUAGGGGACCACGGAAUUCCUGGUGUAGCGGCGAAAUGCGCAGAUAUCAGGAGGAACACCGGUGGCGAAGGCGGUGGUCUGGGCCGGAACUGACGCUGAGGAGCGAAAGCGUGGGGAGCGAACAGG